RNAcentral lists this ribosomal RNA (253 nucleotides) under uncultured bacterium. RNAcentral's name for it is "partial 16S ribosomal RNA". It matches the Rfam family "Bacterial small subunit ribosomal RNA", at positions 524 to 776 of the family's 1533-position model. The record is from RNAcentral.
UACGGAGGGUGCGAGCGUUGUCCGGAAUCAUUGGGCGUAAAGGGUGCGUAGGUGGUGGGGUAAGUCGGAUGUGAAAUCCCGGGGCUCAACCCCGGAACUGCAUUCGAUACUGCCUUGCUCGAGUACUGGAGAGGAGACUGGAAUUUACGGUGUAGCAGUGAAAUGCGUAGAUAUCGUAAGGAAGACCAGUGGCGAAGGCGAGUCUCUGGACAGUUACUGACACUGAGGCACGAAGGCCAGGGGAGCAAACGGG